Molecule: long non-coding RNA, 4888 nt
Filed under: Daucus carota (carrot)
Lineage: Eukaryota; Viridiplantae; Streptophyta; Magnoliopsida; Apiales; Apiaceae
Description: long non-coding RNA (DCAR_LNC001131)
Source: RNAcentral
ACCCGUCAUCUUUCUUGAUAAGUCCUGAUUAUACUUCAACAGUUCCAAAGGGUUGCUUGGCAGUAUAUAUUGGGGAGAAGCAAAGAAGAAGAUUUGUGGUUCCCAUUUCAUACCUGAAUGAUCCUGCCUUCCAAGACUUGUUAAAUCAAGCUGAGGAAGAAUUUGGGUUCAGCCAACCAGAAGGCGGCCUCACUAUUCCCUGCUCAGUGGACACAUUCAUUCACCUUGCUUCACACCUGGAUAGAUCAUAGAGAAAAACAUUUAUAUACUGGUAGAUAGUAUGGCAUUGAAAUGUAAAUAGUAGAAUAGAGAUUUUAAUCAGAUUUUUGUUGGCAACGGAUGAUUUGAAGCUCACCAUUUUGUUGAAUUUAACUUUACCAAAAUUUAUCCAUCAUAGUUUCUUCUUAAAAAUCUCUAUUCUACUAUUUAAUAUAAAGAACUAAAAAAUUUGAUUGCCAAAUUAGUAACUUUUUCUUGUAAUAUAUGCACUCGUAAAGCAAAUUAGGGAUUUUGAAAUCUCCUUAUGAUUUGCAUCCAAUGACAUUCGCAUAGAAAAGAAAAUGAUCUGAAGACUGCAGGCUCUUCCUUAGAUUUUAGGCAUCCAGGAGAUUUUCUGAUUACAAUGAGACAGCAAAUUUUCUUCUGUCUUGGCUACCUGCUGCAUGUAAUGACAUAUGAUUCGAACUGUGAAUGUCAAGUCUGGUCAGAGUUAGAAAGUUAAACUUAUCUACCCAGAACCAAUAAAUGAUGUUCUUGAUAAAAACAGCAAAUUUCAGAGGCAAUGAUUGUUGAAUGCAGACAGGUUUACAUAUUAUCCUUUAGGUGGUACUAACAUAAAAUGGAAUGAAACGACAAGCUUAUCAGUGGCUUCGUGGCUUACAUGAAGACUACAAAAAAACCUGCACAACUGAAAUUGUAAGGUUGAGUAUGUCAACUGCUAGAGUGAAUUUGAAUAAACAAGUUCUUCACAUCAAUCCAAAGAGAUCUCGGUAAUCCCAGGAGAGCAAUAUGUAUGAAUAAAUAGAUGCUAAUCAAUUAAGCAAAAUAAAUUCUUCACUGAUAUGUAAAAAUAAUAAUUCUGUGUAAUGAGAUGGUUACUCUAAUCUUCCCUAGGUUAUCAAAUGGAAGCGGAUUGAGUAGUAUACAGUACAAACCAGAACCUUACAAAAUUGUUAGUACCAGAUUAUAGCUACUUGUUUCUUAUAUCUGCGCAAGACUAAACUGAGGUUAACCAAUGUCUUCUCUACACGGAAAAGCCACUUCAAACAAUAAAGACAUAGAAAUUGCUCUUCUUUUGAACAAUUACAUUUGUGAUCGGACCAAUAAUGUAUAAAGCUGCUUAUCUAUAUUUCAAAUAAAAAUGACUACAUACUGAUUGCAGAGAUCAAAUCCAUGUAGAAAUUAAUGAAAUCAAAUUACAAAGUAUCAGCUAAUGUUCUACCUACAAGAUUUAUAUGAGAGCCAUAUAUAAAAUUUCUAGACUAGCUUACAAAAUUUGUACACUGUCUAACAACAUAUAUAUAAACUCUCAUAAUCUGUUCAAGAGAUCAAUGAAGGUGUCUUCUUUGCAUGGAAUUGUGAGGCCACCUUCUGGCUGACUAAACCCAAAUUCUUCCUCUGCUUGACUUAACAGUUCUUGGAACGUAGGCUCGUUUAAGUAAGAAAUCGGAACUACAAAUCUUCUUCUUUGGUUCUCCCCAACAUAAACUGCAAUGCAUCCCUUAGGGACAUUUGUACUACGAUCAAAAUUUUUUAAGGAAAAUUGUCUGUUGAGAAUUUGCUUGAGAUUAGUGAUAUGAGGCACACGAAUACCCAUGAUGCUCAAGAAAAAUUGAAACUUCAACGGAUAAUCUCUGGGGAUAUCGAAAAUACAAGAACUUCUGAAGAUGGAAGGCUUAGACCCUUAAUUACACUUGAUUUUGUGAUGAAAUUGGUUGAGGAUAUCACAGUUUUUAUAUAGAAAUGACAAGUAAUGAGUGGUUGAUUUAAAUGCAGAUUGAGUGGCACAGAUGCAUUAGGCAAUAGCACAUGCUAUUCUCUUUCAAAGGCCACACAUAUUUAAGAGUAAUGUCUGUUGAGAGACGUCAAUUCCUACUGCUUCUGUUCAACAAAUCUGGACCUGAUAUAUUCUCAUGUCCUACUGAUAGUGUAGAUAAGACAGAAUAUAACAUAAAAUAUACGGAUAUGAACAAGAUACAGAUAAUUUGGCUGGAAAGUCCUCACUUUGCCUGGAAACCAAGGUAGCAAAUUUUAUGUUGUUAGUUUUUGUGGUCAGUAGUUGUGGGUGGGACAGACAAGUUAGGUACUCAUGUGAUAGUGUUUUCAUUCACCUAGCCUAGCUGUUUAUUUUGUGUAGUAGGAAACACCUGAUACAAGUUGUUAUAUCCAUGAAAGAAAGGGCAAAUUUAUGUAAGAAAUAGAUGACUGUUAGGAUUUUGUGUGUUAGGAUUAUAAGUUUUUAUAUGUUUAUAUUCACAAAACAAAAAGUAAAUAAAAAUAGACGGGUGCUGGUCCCCAGCAUAUGGUUGCUGGGGAGGGUUUAAACAACAUACAGCUCCUGAACUGUUGGAUCAGAUGAGGGACGGCUGAGAUAAAAAAAAAAAUGUUCUCGUCCAGCGCUUAAAAACCGCUGAACGGUACACGUAGAAUUUUUUUAUUUUUUUUGUGUCCAGCGCCUAAGAAGCGCUGGAAGCACAGGCAAAUUUCAUGUGCGGCUCUGGAGCCUGUUAUCAAGUUCUCAAAAGGUUUAUUAGCCUUGUUCAUUGAAAAUAGCUCUCAUUCUUGUUAUCAUUUUUUCUAGAAGAUCUUGACAAGCCAAAUGAAUAUAUAUCUUCUGUCUGGGCCUUGGUGCCUCCGGUAACUCCCAAGCCAGGCCCCUGAUUCACCAGAAUUUUAUUAGGAGAUAAUUCCAAAGAUGUGAAGGGUUCUCGAUUUGCAAAAUUCAUAGCUGAAAGACAGAAAAUGCUAAAGAAGAUUUCUGACAGAUAAAUUAGAUAGCUCUUUUAUCAAAUUUCUUCCCAGCAAGUUGUGACAGUUGCCCAAUUCCAGUAUAAAUUAGGAAGAGAACUGCCACCAACUGGAAAUAUACUUUGAAGAUCCACUAGAAGCCAUGAAAAAAUAUAUCACCACAUCUGCUUCUGCUGCAGAAGAAUGAGAGCUAUUUUUAAGAUAAAUGAGGCUAUUAACCUUUUGAGAACUUGAUAAUAGGCUCCAGAGCUGCACAUGGAAUGCGGAAUUUCAGAUGUUGUAUAAGCAUCCCUCCAUCAUGCCUUGUAUUGCUGCAUCAACAUUAAUUUAUAUCUUCUCUGGUUGCCUGUGCUUCCAGUGCGUUUUAAGCGCCGGACACAAAAAAAUAUCCUCUCGUCCAGUGCUUAAAAACCGCUGGAUGUGUACCAUUCAGUGUACACAUCCAGCGGUUUUAAAACGCUAGACGAGAACAUUUUUUCUUCUGAUCUCAGCCGUCCCUCGCUAUAUCCAACGGUCCAGAAACCGUAUGUUGUUUAAACUCUCCCCAACAAUCAUAUACUGGGGACCAACACCCAAAACAGAUUGUUGAAAUAUAGCAUAAGGUCCAUUCUAGGCCUUCCUCUAACACUUUAAGGUUUCAGAUGGAUUGUUUUUCAACAUGGUAUCAGCCAUCAGGGCUCUGAUUUGGCGGAGGUCUCAAAUGUCCACGUAGGCAUUAAUUACCCCAAAGAUGGGCGCCCGUGAUUCCCUCUUUAACCCAAAAAUGGGACUCCAGACCGCGUCUUCACUAAUUCCUUGAGAGCCGUCAUUUUGGCUCACAACUUCACCACUUCUGAUGAAUGACCUUUACUUGAGCAAUCCUCCUUCAAUUCCUCAUGCUCCGACCAAUCAUCUGCAGAUGCUUUCUUCUUGCGUCGAAACGAGCUAUACGAGCCAACCGAAUCCUCCCUUCUAGAGCGUUCACUAUACGCUGAACCUCGAAAGGAGGAUUCGUAAUCCUCUGUUGGAUACUCGGAUGAAGCAACAUGCUCAUCCUUCUUUUUCGCAAAUUCCUCUUCCCAUUUCUCAGCCUCACGCCUCUGCUUCAUCUGAAACUCUAUCCGUCUCCGCUCGCGGUCAAGGGUGUCAAGUUCGCUCUUGAUCGCUUCACGGUUCAACUGCUCCUUAUCUUCAACAGCCAAUCUUUUGGCCUUAAGCUUCUCUAAAUGCAAUCUCGCAUCACCAGAAUGUGCCUUUUUACCUUGCGGCGUCACUGCCAGUGUGCGUGUACGGCGACGUCGCCUACUACCACCUCCGGUAGGAUCCGAAUAAGCCGGACCACCGCGAGAUUCACCUGCUCUAGUUUCGAACAGCUUUUUGUGUUUUAGUGUCUAUCUCCUUAGUUACUAUCACCUCUCGUGUUUCCAGAACUUGUAUCGUCUCCCUCGCUUCAUCUGCCAUGGUAGAUCUGCCCCCUCCUUCUAGCGCCAAAUGCUGAUCUGCCCUCUCCUUCUAGCGCCAAAUGCUGGAACAGUGUAUGUAUGUUUAUUACAGAGUGUAUGUAUCUAUUCUAUUCUCAGAUUCCAACCCUGUGUUAGCUGCUCUGUUUAUAUAGCACUCUGGCACGUGACUUCCUCAUGCUUGCUGUUUGGGCUUAUUCUUCUUUGGGCUGCCUCUCACUCUGGGCCAAGGCCCAACAACUUCAACAGUUCCAAAGGGUUACUUGGCAGUAUAUAUUGGGGAGAAGCAAAGAAAAAGAUUUGUGGUUUCCAUUUCAUACCUGAAUGAUCCUGCCUUCCAAGACUUGUUAAAUCAAGCUGAGGAAGAAUUCAUUCAUUCACCAUUCAUUCACUAUUCCCUGCUCAGUGGAAACAUUCAUUCACCUUACUUCACGCCUGGAUAGAUUAUAGUGAGAAAACAUUUAUGUACAGGUAGAUAGUAC